Molecule: transfer RNA, 73 nt
Filed under: Stephanopyxis turris
Lineage: Eukaryota; Bacillariophyta; Melosirophyceae; Stephanopyxales; Stephanopyxidaceae
Description: tRNA-Asp
Rfam family: tRNA
About the family: Transfer RNA (tRNA) molecules are approximately 80 nucleotides in length. Their secondary structure includes four short double-helical elements and three loops (D, anti-codon, and T loops). Further hydrogen bonds mediate the characteristic L-shaped molecular structure. tRNAs have two regions of fundamental functional importance: the anti-codon, which is responsible for specific mRNA codon recognition, and the 3' end, to which the tRNAs corresponding amino acid is attached (by aminoacyl-tRNA synthetases). tRNAs cope with the degeneracy of the genetic code in two manners: having more than one tRNA (with a specific anti-codon) for a particular amino acid; and 'wobble' base-pairing, i.e. permitting non-standard base-pairing at the 3rd anti-codon position.
Source: RNAcentral
GGAAUUAUAACUUAAUUGGUAAAGUGUCAGCCUGUCACGUUGAAGAUUGCGGGUUCAAAUCCCGUUUUUUCCG